This 495-nucleotide ribosomal RNA is filed under the name uncultured bacterium. RNAcentral describes it as "partial 16S ribosomal RNA". It matches the Rfam family "Bacterial small subunit ribosomal RNA", at positions 28 to 507 of the family's 1533-position model. The record is from RNAcentral.
GACGAACGCUGGCGGCGUGCCUAAUACAUGCAAGUAUAACGCUGAAGGAGGAUCUUGCUCUUCUGGAUGAGUUGCGAACGGGUUAGUAACUCGUAGGUAACCUGCCUGGUAGCGGGGGAUAACUAUUGGCAACGAUAGCUAAUACCGCAUAAGAGUAGAUGUUGCAUGACAUUUACUUAAAAGGUGCAAUUGCAUCACUACCUGAUUGACCUGCGUUGUAUUAGCUAGUUGGUGGGGUAACGGCUUACCAAGGCGACGCUACAUAGCCGACCAGAGAGGGUGAAAGGCGACACCGGGACUGAGACACGGCCCAGACUCCGACGGGGGUCAGCAGUAGGGAAUUAUCGGAAAUAGACGGAAGGAAGACCGAGCAACGCCGCGUGAGUGAAGAAAGGUAUUGGAUCGUAAAGCUGUGUUGUAAGAGAAGAAAGAGUGUGAGAGGGGAAAGUGAAAAAUGUGACGGUACCUUACCAGAAAGGGACGGCUAAAUACGUG